AUGAAAAGUGGGAUACCGAAACACAUAAUGUUUUAUGAAAAUGGUGAGUGGAUUAAAUUUCCCCGUGAUCUUCUUGAUUUGGUCGUGGAAGAUCUGCAGGUAAAGAAAGCAUCUGUGGAAAUUAAGUUUAAUGGACAGCACUGUGUGCUAGACUUUUUGCAUAUGUUUUUCUUGGACUUAAAUACAGGGUUGCAACAACCUCUUGCAUGGAUUGAUGCAGCAGGGAGAUGCUUCUUUCCUGAGAUUUAUGGUGCAGAUACAAGUGAAUGCUGCCAUUCUAAUAAUUUUGGAAAUAAAGAACCACAGGUUGAAGAAGAUCAUGGGUCUGACGUAAUCAAGUUGCAGUUGGAAAUUGAAAUAAGUGGAGUUGACCAAUCAAGUUUGAAGGUGUGUAGUGGGGAAUCAAAU
RNAcentral lists this unclassified non-coding RNA (408 nucleotides) under Hevea brasiliensis (rubber tree). Lineage: Eukaryota; Viridiplantae; Streptophyta; Magnoliopsida; Malpighiales; Euphorbiaceae. The record is from RNAcentral.